CCUACGGGGUGCAGCAGUGCGGAAUAUUGGUCAAUGGACGAGAGUCUGAACCAGCCAAGUCGCGUGAAGGAUGACUGCCCUAUGGGUUGUAAACUUCUUUUAUAAAGGAAUAAAACGAGGCACGUGUGCCUUUUUGCAUGUACAUUAUGAAUAAGGAUCGGCUAACUCCGUGCCAGCAGCCGCGGUAAUACGGAGGAUCCGAGCGUUAUCCGGAUUUAUUGGGUUUAAAGGGAGCGUAGAUGGGUUGUUAAGUCAGUUGUGAAAGUUUGCGGCUCAACCGUAAAAUUGCAAUUGAUACUGGCAGUCUUGAGUACAGUUGAGGUAGGCGGAAUGCGGGGUGUAGCGGUGAAAUGCUUAGAUAUCACGAAGAACCCCGAUUGCGAAGGCAGCUUACUAAACUGUGACUGACAUUGAUGCUCGAAAGUGUGGGGAUCAAACAGGAUUAGAUACCCCUGUAGUC
Molecule: ribosomal RNA, 460 nt
Filed under: uncultured bacterium
Lineage: Bacteria
Description: partial 16S ribosomal RNA
Rfam family: Bacterial small subunit ribosomal RNA
Source: RNAcentral